This 505-nucleotide ribosomal RNA is filed under the name uncultured bacterium. Its description in RNAcentral is "partial 16S ribosomal RNA". It matches the Rfam family "Bacterial small subunit ribosomal RNA", at positions 28 to 507 of the family's 1533-position model. The record is from RNAcentral.
GACGAACGCUGGCGGCGUGCCUAAUACAUGCAAGUAGAACGCACAGUUUAUGCCUUAGCUUGCUACACCAUAAACGAUGAGUUGCGAACGGGGGAGUAACGCUGAGGUAACCUUCCGGGUAACUUGAGGUAACUAUGGGAAACGAUAGCUAAUACCUCAUAAUAUUUAUUGUUGCAUGGUAAGUUAUUGAGGUAUGCUAUUGCAUCACUACCAUAUUGACCUGCGUUGGAUUAGCUAGUAGGUGAGGUAACGGCUCACCUAGGCGACGAUACAUAGCCGACCUGCGAUGGUGAUCGGCCACACUGGGAAGGAGACCCGGCACAGAGGGACACGGGAGGGAGCAGUAGGGCAUCGUAGGCAAUGGAUGAAAGUCUGAGCGAGCAACGCCGAGUGAGGGAAGAAGGUUUUCGGAUCGGAAAGCUCUGUUGUCAGAGAAGAAAGGGCGUGCGCGUGGAACGUUCCCAGUGUGACGGUAUCUUAUCAGAAAGGGCCGGCUAACUACGUG